Felis catus (domestic cat) is the source of this 85-nucleotide transfer RNA. It matches the Rfam family "tRNA". Rfam says of the family: Transfer RNA (tRNA) molecules are approximately 80 nucleotides in length. Lineage: Eukaryota; Metazoa; Chordata; Mammalia; Carnivora; Felidae. The record is from Rfam.
GCCUGGGUGGCUUAGUGGGUUAAGUGCCCGACUUCGGCUCAGGUCAUGAUCUCGCGGUCCGUGAGUUUGAGUCCCGCCUCCGGCU